Long non-coding RNA from Pezoporus occidentalis (night parrot), 746 nucleotides. RefSeq lists it as uncharacterized. The record is from RefSeq and is a predicted model, not a curated record. The transcript is spliced from 3 exons. Lineage: Eukaryota; Metazoa; Chordata; Aves; Psittaciformes; Psittacidae.
GCAAGGGGCUCGCAGGGCCAAACCCCACCGGUGGUGCUGGGAGUGGGGCAGGUUGGGCUGGUCGGGCUCCUCAACCUCAGCCCCAUUUGGUGUGGGAGGAGGUUUGGACCCACAGCGCGGUGCCCCACUGGCUCCGUGGUGACCGAGAGGCCUUGGGAAGUCACCUUUUCCCUGCUGGGAGAUGCUCAGCCCGAGCCCGAGGUGCUGUUGAUGGGUGUUUGCUGCCUGGCAGGGCGGGUGACACAGGGCGUGGGGACCACGUUUCGCAAGCUGCGGGUGAAGGUAGAAGCUGGGGGUUCCGGGUUGUUCCUGAUCUGCACAGCACCGUGUCCUUUGCCCUCGUUUUGUCUCUGACUCAACAGCAAGUUGCAAGUCAAGCCUUGCUGGUGCCUGUGAGAGCUGGCUCCUACGCAGGCUGUGCCCGAGCCCUGGCAGCAUUUGGAAAGGUCUGUCCUGUCCCAGGGGACAGGGAGAGCUGUGUGUGGGAUCAGGAUGCAGUAACUGCAUUGCUAAAGAUCUGCAGGGAGCCCAGAGGUGUUUCCCAAGCUCAUGAGACAUCGAUGAGGCCCUCGGUGCCAUGAGUUAAUGGUGGCCUUGGCAGUGCUGGGGUGAGGUGGUGGUGAAGUGGUUCGAAGCCAUCCAGACGGGGCUGCCCAUGUGUGUCCUGGGAGCGGCGUUCGGCCCCAUCCACCUCAGCGCACGGAAGCUGCAGGUCCUGGCCACCGAGCUCAUUCCCUGGGCGAUCC